This 339-nucleotide ribosomal RNA is filed under the name uncultured bacterium. Its description in RNAcentral is "bacterial SSU rRNA". It matches the Rfam family "Bacterial small subunit ribosomal RNA", at positions 99 to 439 of the family's 1533-position model. The record is from RNAcentral.
CGCACGGGUGAGUAAUGUAUAGUUAACCUGCCCUCUAGAAAGGAAUAACAGUUGGAAACGACUGCUAAUGCCCUAUAUGCCUUUAAGACAUAAGUCUGCAAGGGAAACGCUUUAGUGCUAGAGGAUGGGACUGUAUGGUAUCAGCUAGUUGGUGAGGUAAAGGCUCACCAAGGCAAUGACGCCUAACUGGUUUGAGAGGAUGAUCAGUCACACUGGAACUGAGACACGGUCCAGACUCCUACGGGAGGCAGCAGUGGGGAAUAUUGCACAAUGGAGGAAACUCUGAUGCAGCAACGCCGCGUGGAGGAUGACACUUUUCGGAGCGUAAACUCCUUUUAU